Molecule: ribosomal RNA, 253 nt
Filed under: uncultured bacterium
Lineage: Bacteria
Description: partial 16S ribosomal RNA
Rfam family: Bacterial small subunit ribosomal RNA
Source: RNAcentral
UACGUAGGGUGCGAGCGUUGUCCGGAAUUAUUGGGCGUAAAGGGCUCGUAGGCGGUUUGUCGCGUCGGGAGUGAAAACCCAGGGCUUAACCCUGGGCUGGCUUCCGAUACGGGCAGACUAGAGGUAUGCAGGGGAGAACGGAAUUCCUGGUGUAGCGGUGAAAUGCGCAGAUAUCAGGAGGAACACCGAUGGCGAAGGCAGUGGUCUGGGCCGAUACUGACGCUGAGGAGCGAAAGCGUGGGGAGCGAACAGG